This 4668-nucleotide long non-coding RNA is filed under the name Populus tremula. Its description in RNAcentral is "long non-coding RNA (PTRE_LNC001446)". The record is from RNAcentral. Lineage: Eukaryota; Viridiplantae; Streptophyta; Magnoliopsida; Malpighiales; Salicaceae.
UGAUGAAGCUAGCUUUCACUAGCUGUUUUUGGUGUGCCUAUAUAUCAACAUAAGUAAGCAAAUAAAAUGUCAAGGACCAUGUGAAGCAUGAUUCACAUGUUUAUAAAUAGUAAGAGAACCUAUAAAAAAUCAAAUACAAAUAAUUGGAAGUCCUUUCAAAUAGAAGUUAAAGUCUAUCAAGAAAGGAUAGAAUUAAAUUCCUUAUCAAAUGAAAUCAAAACAAAUAAAAUCUCACCUGUUAAAACUUUCAAGCUCGUAUAAAAAUAUUAUAUCCCUCCAGAAUAAGUUCAAGAUCAAGAAUAGAAGGUUAUAAUAUUCAGAUAUGACUCUUAAUUAGGGAAUUUAUACACCUAAAACAUAUACAAAGACUUUGAAUAUUAGUUAGAGUUCUUAAUAAUCACAAUACUAGGUGUUGAAGUUAAAUCUUUUAAAUUAUAAAAAAAAUAAAAAUACUUUGUUAUUUUCAGACACCUAAAAUCCCAAUCUAGAACGAAAAUAACGAUACAACAUACAUGCAACACGGCCUCUUAGUUUCUCUUUCUAUGGAAGUUUAUAUUUGGUAAAAUAGUGUAUAAUAUUUUUUAAUUGAAAAUGUAUUAAAAUAAUAUAAUUUUUUAGAUUUUUUUAACAGCAAUAUAUUAAAAUUAUUAAAGAAAAAUUAAAAAAUUAUUAAUUUAAUACUUUUUUGAUAAAAAAUAAUUUUGAAAGCAGGUUUUUUCUAAAAAAAACACUCCCGAAGUUUUUUUUGCCUUAUGUAUCGAAAAACAAAUCUACUGAGUGUGUGAGGGCUAAAAAGAAGAGAGGGUCAGAAGAUAACUUAGUCAAAAUAAUGUCGGCAAAACGUGCAUGUCAUGUAGUCAUUUUCGGUGAUAGGUCAUUUUCACCAUUAUAUUUUUGUAGUCAUUGAAUAUUUAUGUUGAUAUUUAUAUUUAUAUAUUUAUAGUCACUGUCAUAUAUAUGCAGUUAUGUUCAUGACAGCUAGAUAUAUAUAUUUUAAAAAAAUUAUAUAUAUAUCUUCGUAUUGACAUAUAUGUUAUAUUGCCAUAUAUAAAAAAAAAUUGAUUUUUUAUAAGAAAAUUAUUAUUAUUAUUAUUAUUAUUAUUAGAUAAAAAACAUGAAUAAUGUGUGGACACAUUUUUUUAUGAUAAAAAUAUCCUUAAGUUUUAUUAAUCAUUAAUGUAUUGAAAGGAUUUUAUCCAGCGUUUUCAAAAAAAUAAAUUUUUAUUAUUAAAAAAUAAAUUUUUUAUAUAUUUUUGAUCGUUUUGAUGCGUUGAUUUCAAAAAUAAUUUUUUAAAAAAUUAUUUUGAUGCAUUUCGACACGAAAAAACUUUAAAAAACGACUACAAUUACACUCUCAAACAUGUUAUUUAAUCCCCAAUGCUUAUUUAGAUGAGAAAUUAUCAUUUUGAUGUAUUUUAGCACGAAAAACAUUUUAAAAAGAAACGACAAUCACAAUCUCAAACAAGUUAUUUAGACCUCAAUGCUUAUUUAGAUGAGAAAUUAUUGUUCUUUAGUCUCUAAAUAAUCUUAUCUAGGGUUAAUUAUAAAAAGCAAAAUUAUCAACAUACGAAUUAGGAUAUAAAAAAUGAUAAGUAAUUAGAUUGAAUUUAAGUUAGAAAUAAACGUCAACCUUGUAAUAAUAAUUUUAGGUAUUUUCAGUGUUUUUUUCAUCUCCAGCUCGAGUUUUCUUUUGCGAUCUGUUGUUUUCACAUUAUUGUCAUAUGCUUCAAUAAUCUUCGCCAGCUCAGAGAUAUAUUGGAAAACGAAUUUAACCUAUUAUUAUUAUUAUUAUUAUAUAAGAAACCUUCGAGGGAUUUUUUUUUCAAUGAUGAAGCUAGUUUUCACUAGCUGUUUUUGGUGUGUUAUAUAUCAAGAUAAGUAAGCAAAUAAAAUGUCAAGGACCAUGUGAAGAUCAACUCAUUAUUUUGAUUUAUAGGUGUAUAUAUAUAUUGAAAGCAAAACCUUUAUGAUCUCAAGUAAGCAAAUAAAAUUAAUUGGAAAUCAAAAACUUUAUGUUUGUAUGUAAUAAAAUAAAAUAAGAAUUAUAUGUAUUAAUAAAUAUUAAAUAAAUUGUUAACACUAACUAAAAAUUGAGUUGAGAAGUUAAGUUAUAUAUAUAUAUUGUAAAACUGGGUAUGGUUUAAAGUGUUUUUCAUUUAAAAAUACAUCAAAAUAAUUUAUUUAUUUAUUUUAAAACAUUACUUUUAAUAUCAGCACAUUAAAAUAAUCUGAAAACACUAAAAAUUUAAAACUUAAAAAAACACGGUUUAAACCGCAUUCCAAACAGGUCCUAAGUAUCUUGUCUACCCAAAAACAUAUGAAAAUGGCUAUAAAUAUAUAAAUGUGAACUUAAAAAUGAUUUCUAAGAGGUCAAGUAUAUUUAUACAUAAUAAUCCCUGUAAACUUAUUAAAUCUUCAUUUUAGCCCUUUAAUGUUGAAUCAUGGAUCCAUCUUUUUUUCUAUCAGCAGAUAGUCUUUAUAUAUAUAAAAAAAAACCACCGAUCAACCCACUGAGCAUGUGAAGUUACAAAUUUCAAAUGCAUGAAGGAAGACCCCAUAAUGAAAACGAUGUUUGUUUAUCUUAUAAAUAUAUUUGGAUGCAGCCUUAGCUGGUUCACACUCACCUGCAGACAAAAUUUCCAAGCGUCCUUUGAAGUUGAUGGAAAAAUUGAAUCAAUUGAUAGUGAGAGGGAAAGAUUGUGCAUUUCUUCGUUGUCGUUUAUUCCUUUACAAGACAGAUGCAUUAUUAAAAAAUUGCUUUGAAUCAUUUCCAUCAAUUGUCAAGUAUUUCAUAACAGUAAUUCGAUUCACUUGAAAAACUGGUUUUUCCUAUUCAAUUGCUUAAGCUCUAUUAAAAAACCGGACCGGAUCAUAUAUAAUAAUAUAUAUAUAUAUACUUUUUUUAUUUAGUUCUCCGACUCCGGAUGAGUUUGGGCGUCCGGCGCCUCUUUUGAGGACGGGAGGAAAAAAAACAUAUAUAUCUACACCUUGCACCCUUUUAGGAAAAGAUAAAUCUUUAAGGAAAUAAAUUUUUUUUAUAACAUGUUUAUUAUUUUUUAUUAAAACAAUGUAUAUUGAAGAUCAAAACAUAAUAUUUUUUAUAUAAAAUAACUUAAUAAUUUCAAGUUUAAUCUCUAAUUUAAUAACAAGUUCAGUGAUAUUAACUUUAAAAUUUAAAAUAUUACAUUUAUAGAAAAAUGCAUGCUAAACAUUUGAAAUAUAACCUAUUUAUAUUUAGUUUGAUCCAUGUGGGACCAUUAAGCCAUAUGAAGAGAGGGGUUUAGCCUAAUUUCUUAGGAGUUUUUAAUAUUUAAUUUGUUUUACAUGGAGAACAAAUAUAGAAAAAAAAAUAUUAGCUUCCCAAAAAUAGUAUUUGAUGAUCUAUCUAGUUUUGAUCAAAUGCUACUACAUGUGCUGUAUAGAUAUAAUUAUGGAUUAAUUGAGCUGAGAAUUUAUAGAUACAAUUGUGACAUAACAAGGAUCUAUAAUCUAAAAUAGUAAAGAUUAAAUUUAGAACAACCUAACUAGUGUUCUGUGCGCUAUUAAAACAUCAGGUUUUUUGAGUAUUCUGAAUUAGUUUGUGAUUUCUCCUAACAAAAAUGGAACUCUUUUAGUAGAUAACUAGAACACGUUCCUAUAUGAUAAACUUGAAUAUUAUAUGCUUGGAAAACUGCACAUAAUUAUAAAAUGUUUUUAAUAAAGCAUUUGAUGACUUUGAGAUGCCAAGAUGAAACUUAAUCAACAAAUCACUUAAACACGUUACAACUAGUUUUUUUUUUAAAAAAAAAAAAAAAAAAUAGUUGUUCCUUGUUUGGGUACAAUCUGAUUUUUUUUUUAAAAAUUUCUUUUGUAAUACUGUUGGUCAUUUUUAUUAGAUAUGUAGCUAGUUCUCCUAAAUAAAUUAGUAUGGGUAAUUAAAGUGACUGCAAAGGGUAUUGAUACCGAUAAUCACUUGUUCACCACCGCUAAUCAAGUCUUGCUCUCUAGCUAUCUUAAUACCCAUAUAAAUCUAAAGUCGAAGCUCUGAUCAUUUCACAGCAGGUUCAAUGAAAUUAACAACAAAAUUUAUUACAAAUGUUUAUAUAUGCUGGAUAACUAAAACAUAAUUAAGCAAACCAACUUUUUAAAAAAUAAAAAUAAAUGGAACCACCUAUUGUCUGCAGAGCUUAAACCAAAUCCAAAACUAAACAUUUCAAAGAGCAGAACAAGUUAGUGCUGACCUGAGGACGGAGAUCAGAGGACCGUGUCUGUAAAUAGAGUCCCUAGCCGCGAGCCUCUUCCUAUAUAUAUAUUGCAGCACCUCUCUCUCUCUCCCUCCCCCCCCUCUCUCUAAGUCUCUUGCCUUGUCUCUCUCCCUCUCUCUCUAUCUCUCUAAGUCUCUUGCCUUGUCUCUCUCCCUCUCUCUCUAUCUCUCUAAGUCUCUUGCCUUGUCUCUCUCCCUCUCUCUCUAUCUCUCUAAGUCUCUUGCCUUGUCUACCCAGAUGCACAAGACAAUGGCUAUAAUUAAGGGACUUAAUUAUAUAUGCUCUCUAGAUUCAAGCCUGGCAAGGGCGGAUCUAGGAAAGUCCCUUAACUUUAAAAUUAUUUCUAAAAGAUGAAGUAUAUUUGUACAUAAUAAUCCCUGUAGAAUAUUAAAUCUUCAUUUUAGCCCUUUAAUGUUGAAUCCUG